GACGAACGCUGGCGGCGUGCUUAACACAUGCAAGUCGAACGGAAAGGCCCUGCUUUUGUGGGGUGCUCGAGUGGCGAACGGGUGAGUAACACGUGAGUAACCUGCCCUUGACUUUGGGAUAACUUCAGGAAACUGGGGCUAAUACCGGAUAGGAGCUCCUGCUGCAUGGUGGGGGUUGGAAAGUUUCGGCGGUUGGGGAUGGACUCGCGGCUUAUCAGCUUGUUGGUGGGGUAGUGGCUUACCAAGGCUUUGACGGGUAGCCGGCCUGGGAGGGUGACCGGCCACCUUGGGACUGCGGUACGGCCCAGUAUGCAACCGGAGGCAACAGUGGGGAAUAUUGCACAAUGGGCGGAAGCCUGAUGCAGCAACGCCGCGUGCGGGAUGACGGCCUUCGGGUUGUAAACCGCUUUCGCCUGUGACGAAGCGUGAGUGACGGUAAUGGGUAAAGAAGCACCGGCUAACUACGUG
This 468-nucleotide ribosomal RNA is filed under the name uncultured bacterium. RNAcentral's name for it is "partial 16S ribosomal RNA". It matches the Rfam family "Bacterial small subunit ribosomal RNA", at positions 28 to 507 of the family's 1533-position model. The record is from RNAcentral.